AUACAGGUGGGUGGGGUGAGGCAGGAAGAGCCCACUGGCCUGCCCCAGGCUUUUCUGCAAUGUGAAUGAGUGAUAGAAGAAGGAUUCAGCAGCUGAACUGCAAUACAUCUGCUGGCUGUAUCAGUCCUGAGGAUUAUAGGAUUUCACGAGUCUUCUGGUCUUGACUACCUGAUCCUGAGGGCUGUCAUCUCCAGCCCAGGAGCUGUGGGAUGGGCUGAUGCUCCACGGAGUGUGGGAGCCAAGUGGGGAGGAGAGACCCUGGGGCAAGGACAGACAGAGGAGGAAGACGGGGACUCCCCUUGUUGGAAGGACUCUAAGCACCAUAGGUUAUCUUACGUCUGAGGCUCUCACCACCUGUUCCUGCUCCUUCUACUUUAUCUUCCAAAGGCCCCCAUCCAACGUAUCUCUUGCACAUCUAAUUCUGUCUUGAGACCUGAUUCCUCUAAGACCCAAACUAAUAUGCCUGGGCUCCCCCCUGUCCCCCUCACCCGGCCCUGUGGAAGGGCAGGGCAGAAGAUAGAACAUCAGCAGACCCAGGGGAGGGGUCGAGGGGAGCAUGAGAGGUUCACAAAGGAAGGAUGUUUGUCUGUCAGCCCAAACAUCCUACCUUGUCAACUUCUGUGUCCAGCCUUCCUCGGUCACUACCACAGGUCAAACCUGAUUAGACCAUUCCCCGGGCUAUAACCCUUCAGUAGUCUCAUGUCUGCUGGGGACAGUCCAAACUCUCACCCAGCCCAGCUCUGAGUCUCCCAUUCAAGUUACACUCCUGCCCUAUUACGCCCCCAGGCCCUCCUGUGCCUUUGAACAUGACAAUGAAGAGCCAGUGUCUUCCCUUGCCCACUUGUCAAUGACCCUUCUAGUGUCUGACUCGGCAGUAGAACAGCUCCUCAUCCAGGGUUCCCUGGCACUCUGCCCAGGCUUGCAGGGGAAUGAACUGGGUGAGAAAGGUUUGUUUCCAUGUCUGCCUCCCCCAGGUAUUGUAGCCCCUCAGGAGCAGGGCCUAGGCCGUAAUCCUCUUCACAUUUUCAACAACUGGCACAAGAUCUGACCCUUAAUAGGUGCUCACCACUGUGUGUGUUGAAUAAGGACAAGUUUGAAUGCUGAGUAAGUGAAUGAAUGAGGAAAUAUUAGGUUAUUAAGUAUGAAAUGUCUGAUUUCCUUCGGUACUAAAUUUGACAGUUGAUAUCUCUGACAUUUCACUUGAACUUUUUUUUUUAUUGUGAAGGUACAUCCUCAUUCUUUCAGAUGCAUGUUUUGGCUUGUGAUUAUCUUUCAAACUUUUUGAAGAGCAAUCUUUGUGAAACCAAGUAUAAAUCAAAAAUUCAUGUUAUAUUCAAAAUAUAAAUGAAGUGUUUGGGAAGGAUGUAGCUAAUGAACGCACAGUACAUGAAUGAUUUGAGAAGUUCCAUUGUGAUGAUCUUAAUCUUGAAAAUGAAUCAUGUGGGCGACCUGAGACCAAGGUGGAUAAUGAUGAGCCAAAAGCUGGGGUGGAAGCAAAUCCAUUUCAACCUAGGUGUGAAUUAGCCGCAAGGUUUGAAGUUCCUGUUCAACAAUAUCGGACCAUUGGAAACAUAUUGGCAAGAUAAAGAAACUGGACAGAUGGGUUCUGCAUGAAUUAAAUGAGCGUCAGAAGAGAAAUCGUUUCAAAUCUUGCCUUUCUCUUUGCUGUCACACUACACUGUAUUAUUUUCUGCCAUGAAAAAUAGAUACUUUUUGACAAUGGUUAAGUGUUCAAUGGUUGAAUAAAGAUGAAGCACUGAAACACAGCCCCAAAGCAAAUAUUCAUCAAAAAAAGCUGGUGGUGUGUCUUUGCUGGUCCAGAGCUGGUAUUGUCCACUACAGCAGCGGUUCUCAACCUGUGGGUCGUGACCCACAGGGAAUGUAUUAAAGGGCCGAGGCAUUAGGAAGGUUGAGAACCAGUGCACUAUAGCUUCAUAAAACCUCGUCAAUUGAUUACAAAGGUUGCCUACUGCAACCAACUGGACGAAAUAAUGAGGAUGCUCCCACUUACACAGCUGAGAUUGGUCAAUAGAGACAAAGCCCAUCCUCUUACAAGAUAACCUUUGACCACACGUCAUAAAAUCAACGCUGCACAAACUACAGAAGCUGGACUCAGAAACUCUGUCAUCCACUAUAUUUACCAGACCUUGCACCAACUGACUAUCCCUUCUCCAGGCAUUGGACCCUUUCUUGCAAGGAAAAAUAUUUCAAUCUUAAUAAGCUGUGGAAAACACCUUUUGUGAUUUCAUCACCACUUGUUUUCUAGGCUUCUUCAAUGGUGGCAUAAACUGUUGAAAGGGAAAAACUGUGUUGAUAGUUUAGGCACAUACUUUGAUUAACUUUAUUGCUUCCUGUUUGGUAUAUAAUAAACUAAACUUUUGAUUUGAAAUCAGACAUUUCAAACUUAAUGGCCUAAUAUAUGAAUGAAUAUGUAAGUAAAUGAACAAAUGCCUCCCACCUGCCCCAUAUCAUUGCCUGACACUCCUGCUCCCUCAGCUGGGGUGAGCCCACUCACAUACCCUAAGUUCCUCUGUGCUUUGUAUAGUGCAACUGGUCAUUUCCAUUUGCUCCAUCCACCUUACUGAGGGUCCUGAAAGAGGCCAAAGCAGUGCCAUCCAGAGCAUGGGCUAUGGAGUCUGAUGCACUUCCUAGGUCUGAAUCCCAGCUCCGCCCCUUGUAGGCUGUGGGAGCUCUGGCAAAUGGCUUGACUCUUCUGAGCCUGUUUUCUCCUCUGUAAAAUGAGAAUGCUGGCAUCCACCUAUAGGGUAAUGUGGCGAUGAAAUGAGACCAGGGAGGUGUGCUAUAGAUGGGACUGGGAGCUCUCAAGCAUCUAGUGUAUAUGAAGUGCUAACUAAAUGUUAGUUGAAUGAAUGAAUGGAUUAAAAAAAUGGAACUCCACUGACUUGGCUUCUGAACUGAGGCCUUCAGAGGCCCUAUGCUCCUCCCUUGUUGGCCUUUAUAGCUUUCCUCUCCUAUAGGAAGGGGGUUCUCAUUUCUGGUGGCAUCUAGGGAGAGGUAAACCCUUGAUUUCCAUCCAUCUCUCCUCCAGCUGUGGGUACACACCAAGUUCCAUCCUCCGUUGCUGGGGUUCUUUCAUUCCCUUCUCACCAGUGGGAUGAUGGCGCUUAGAUUCUAGCCCCUGGAGGCCUAUAGUUUGCUAAAGCUGAUAUUAAGUGGGGGUUUCUCCUCCCCAUCAUUCUUGGUCAUCCCUCAGGUCAGGAAAAUCAGUGGAUGUCAGUAAAACUCUUGCCUACCUGUUGAGUGCUGGGUACCCACCUCUCCAUCCAAGUCACAUCUCCUGAGUGUCCCUCUUUACCUUGCUAGGAGCUCUGGGGACCCUGUAAGGCCCUGCAUGAUUGGGGUCCUCCUCUGUACUCUCUCUGAACUUAGUCCUAGUUUCCAGCUCUCCGCAGCUACCCAGAUCUCUCACAUGUAACCCAUCUCCCCGUCUUUCCCACAUAGGCCAGUCCCUCCUGCCUCAGUGCCUUUGCACUUGCUGGCAGAAGGGUCUCUCCUCUGAUGUCUGCAGAGCUUACUCCCUUAUUUUGCUCACAUCCCUGCUUCAAUGUUACUGUAUCAGCAAGUCCUUCCAUGGCCACCCAAUCUAUAGCAGCCUCCUAAUCACUAAUCAGGCUUUAACUUUCUCCUUCCCAUCAUUCUCAGUCAUCCCUCCGCCACUUUAACUGUCUUUAACUUUCUCUAAGCACCUUCCACCACCUGAUGAUUAUCCAGGUACCUGUUUGUUCAUGCAUGUCCCCUCAUACUACAGUGCCAGCUCCCCAAGGACAGGGUUUGCUUGUUUGGUUAGCAUUGCUUCCUCAGCACCCAGUCUAGCUCACACUAGCUACACAAUUUAUCUGCUGAAUAAAUAGAUGGACAAAUGAAUGAACAAAUAAGCAAGCCAGGAAUGCCGUUUAUAGACGAGGCAUGAUUUCUGAGCUUAAGCCCAUCCUACUGGCCCAGAAGUAUUUGCGUGUCUGUCAUUUUAGCACCUGGAAAGUACAGCCCUUACAGGCACCAGUCCCAGGGUGAUGGGGUUCCCAAAGUGACUUCCCUCAGCUGUGCCUCUCAGAAUACCCCUCCCUCUCUUUAAGUGCCCCAGUUGCAGCCCACCUCCCCACUCCUCCUGCUAGCUCUGAAUUCCUUCCGUGUGUGUGUGUGUGUGUGUGAUAGAUAGAAGGAUAGAUAAUCACAGAAUCAUGACCCUAUUGUCCAGCCCUCAAUGGCUAUCUCCUUGUUGCUUAGAAUUCCCACCUUGUAAACCCUCCAAGGGAAGACACUAUUGAAAAGAGCAAUGCAGUCUUCUAGCUGGGUUUCAAGUUCCAACUCUGCUGCUCACCAGCUAUAGGACCUUGGAAGUUGCACAGCACCCCUGUGCCUCAGUUUCCCUGUGUGUGACAUGAAAAUAGAAAAACCUGUCCUUGCAGGUCACAAAAAUUUUGUGAUUUUGAGAUCUCAAACCUAUCCUUGCAGGUCACAAAAAUUUUGUGAUUUUGAGAUCUCAAAAAUCAAAGUGCCUGGCACAAGAAUACCUCAAAUGAAUUCUGUUGUACUGUGUGUGUGGUGGGGCAGGGUCCUCCUUCUCUGCCCUCCUCUCUGAGGUGGCUGGAACUGCGUAGAAAGGAAGGAUCGUGGGAAUAGUCCAGGCUAGGAAUGGUAGAGAUGGGAAGAGAUGGGCUGCGAGGCUCUGAGUUUCGUGGGCUGAAGCAGGGGCUUGGGAUAAAGGGUGUAGGAAGGUCCCACACAUCUGGGAGGCUUGAGCCACCCACCUGUGCUUCAAGAUCUGCUGCUGCCCUGGGACUCAGUCUG
Nycticebus coucang (slow loris) is the source of this 4809-nucleotide long non-coding RNA. RefSeq lists it as uncharacterized. The record is from RefSeq and is a predicted model, not a curated record. Lineage: Eukaryota; Metazoa; Chordata; Mammalia; Primates; Lorisidae. The transcript is spliced from 3 exons.